CGUCCACCUCCAAAACACGCAGCCGCCUUUUCCACGCGCCCACCGGCUCUGAAUUCCGCCUCCCCUCUCCCUCUCCCAAACCCGCACGGCGAAAGCAACAGCCGGAGCACGGGAAGAGGAGGAGAACUCUCCCUCUCGCGUCGUCGUCGUCGUCUCCGCCGAUCCUCGCCCUGUCCCUCCCCGUGCUCUGCUCCCUCGGGGUCGCCGUCCCAGGCCGGAAGCUUCGCGCGCAAGGCGCUGAGGAGGAGGAGCGGGAGUGCGCGCCGCGGCGGUAGCCGCUCUGCGCCUGCACCGGGGCCCGUCUCGCACCGGCAUGGUCUUGGCCCCCGCGGGAAGGCACGGCGGGAAUGGCCGAUAGGGCGAAGGUCGUGGCCGUCGUGGUCGCCGCCGGCGUGGGCGCGGCGGUGCUCGCGGCGGCGUGCGUGUUCCUGGCCAUCUGGAUGUACCGGCGGCGGGCCAGCGUGGUGGCGCGGACGCGGACGCGGUCGCUCGAGUCCUCCACGGCCACGCUGCGGGCCAACGGCUCCACCGCCAGCCUCGACUCCAGCGUCUCCGUCUCCGUCGUCUCCGAGAGCGUCGCCGACUGGGGCCACAGCCCGCUGCCGCCGGGGAAGCGCGUCGCCUUCUGGGGCUGGCGGGGCGCCACCAACGCCAGGGACCAGCCCCUCUCCGUCUCCGGGAUCCCCAAGUACCACUACAAGGAUCUGCAGAAGGCUACCAACAACUUCACCACGAUUCUGGGGCAAGGGUCGUUUGGUCCUGUGUACAAGGCUGUAAUGGCUACCGGUGAAGUCGUGGCUGUAAAGGUUCUCGCGAGCGAUUCUACGCAAGGGGAAAGAGAGUUCCAGACAGAGGUAAUUUUGCUUAGUCGGCUGCAUCAUAGAAAUCUUGUUAAUUUGGUUGGAUAUUGCGUGGAAAAAGGCCAACACAUUCUGAUGUAUGAGUACAUGAGCAACGGGAAUCUGGCAACUCUUCUGUAUGGUGAUAAUAAACGGAGUUUGAGCUGGCAAGAGAGGCUACAAAUAGCUCACGACGUCUCUCAUGGGAUUGAGUACCUGCAUGAAGGGGCUGUCCCGCCUGUUAUUCACCGAGACCUAAAGUCUGCUAAUAUACUCUUGGACGAAUCAAUGAGGGCCAAGGUUGCAGACUUUGGUCUAUCAAAGGAGGAAGUAUUUGAUGGAAGUAAGUCAGGUCUCAAGGGCACCUAUGGAUAUAUGGACCCUGAUUACAUGUCCACCAACAAGUUCACAAAGAAGAGCGAUGUUUACAGUUUUGGCAUAAUACUUUUUGAACUCAUAACAGCCAUAAAUCCACAACAAGGCUUAAUGGAGUACAUUGACCUAGCAGCGAUUGGAGGGGAAGGAAAGGUGGACUGGGAUGAGAUACUCGACAAGAACCUCCUUGGCGGGAGCAUUCCGGAAGAGGCAAGGGUCCUUGCCGAUGUCGCCUACCGGUGCAUCAACAGGAGCCCAAGGAAGCGGCCAUGGAUAUCAGAGGUCACCCAGGCCAUUUCAAGGCUAAGGCAGCGGCAGAUGACUUUGCCGAGGAGCGAGACCAGGACCGUGCUAAGGAGGAUAGAGUACCAGCACGUGGAGCUCAGCGAUCUCGCCGGCAUGAAAGAACUCACGCCGGUGUCUAACUUGGGUUGGAAUAGAUGUAAAUAAUCCCGAAGGUAGAGUUUGGCAGGAUGACCGUCUCUCAAUUGAUAGACUGGCAAAUUGGUAAUAUGAACACUCUAGUAACAAAUGCUAGAAAGUGUAAAUCGAUGAAGGGGUUAUUAAACUGCAUGC
Molecule: ribosomal RNA, 1790 nt
Filed under: Triticum aestivum (bread wheat)
Lineage: Eukaryota; Viridiplantae; Streptophyta; Magnoliopsida; Poales; Poaceae
Description: partial small subunit ribosomal RNA
Source: RNAcentral